GUGACAUGGUAUGGAUUAUGAUAUAAAUAUGAUAUAAUAUGGACAUGGAUAAUUUGGAUAAAAUUAGAUAAAUUUUAGGUGAACUCUAUAGAAGUAUAUAACAAAGUCUCAUGAGUUCAGUUAUGAUAAGGGUUGUUCUGCGUAACUCGGUUACCGCCACCGCGGUAUAAUUAAAUAAUUAAACAAGUAAUAGCCGAUGGCGUAGUCCGACGCAUGGAACUUUACUUUCUAAGCUCGUUGGCGUGGUCAGUGCCCGCAGAUAUGGGAAUCCAUGUUGCCCCGGGGGCACCAGCACCGAGAUUGUUGCAAUCGCCAUCCUUGGCUAACGUAUCUGGAGCACUUGGCGAGUGUUGGCCACAGAAAAUCCGAUCACCGAGCUUAAUUUCGCGAUCAUCUGCCACCUGCAUUCUGGACAACUUACCUUUUUUGUCGGACCCUGUUUAGGCCAUUUAACACUUCUAAUUGCCACGAAAUCUCUGAUAGGCGAAGCUCUUAUUCAAUUAUCUUCAUUUGGAACGGGUGUGCGGUAAUAAAAGCGUGGCAUAUGAAACGAAUGAACUGGCCACCCGGUACGUUGCUACAAAAUGUCUAACGUCAAGAAAUACGAUCACCUAAGCAGCAAGAAAUCACAUUCUGCCAUUCGUUGAUCGGGGAACGAUCGAGGUACACGAGGACAAAUUCAGCAAUCUGGAGAACUGGAAAAUGCUCGCGGAAUGCAUUGGAAACCUAAACUUCGGCAUAACGAUUCAAACGUGUCAGUGUUAUGUAAUUUUUCUGCGGAAUUUUAUUUUAAACAGAAUCCUCCGCUCCAUAAAUAAUUUACUCUACGAUGCCGGAAUUAAGUAUAUAUUAAGUAAAAAGUUAGAGUGUAGCUAAUUGAAUAGGCUGACGAAUAUUUCAAUCAAAUUUUGCUACAUUUUGUAACUAAUAUGCCGCAAUUUGUAACGUUAGCCAAUAGUUGCUACAAGACUCACCACUCACGACGCUAAUAAACGGCACCUGCUCGAUCGAUCUAUGCAAAUCUGUUACAGUUCGAGUGAUUUACGCAGUGUAACCUUUAAUGUAACGUCUGUUCGCUUUUUCGAGCGUGUUACACGAGCUUGAUUACCGUUUAUUGUUCGAUUUCACCAGCGUUCCUUAAUUGUUACGGAGAGUUUUAGGAACGUUCACUUUGGCAAGAAGUUCCGAGUAAAUUGAUAUUUCACGUGUUCGGGGAGGUGCAAACUUCUAUUGCGCACCGCGAUCGAACUAUGAUUCAUGUUUUUCCAUCCUCGCAAGAACAUACUAUAAUUAAAAAGAAAAGGAGAUUACGUAUUGUAUAACCGUGUCAUUCGCUAAUUCAAGCUAUCAGAUUCACGUUUAAUGUUUUCAUUCUGAAGAUUGAUAGGUGAGAAAGGCAGGAAACGUUGGUAGAUCAGAUAAUCUGGAUGACCGAAACUUUUGACUUGAUUCGUGAUCCAAGUUCGCGAUUCUAUCUGAAAAUGUUGCUUAAUGCUUCCUUCAUGCCUUGGACUGCAACGAUGACCGGUGAAUCACGGGAAGAUUUCGAAUUUCUGCUCGUUCGACGAAGCGUGAACUUGGCCCUUUUAUUGUGUUAUUAAUUUUAAUUUCUCCGAGUUUCAUUUUUGUGUCAAAAAUCUGCUUCACAUUUUCUCCUGACAAAUAAGUUAUUACUUAAUCGAAACAUCUUUCGGAUGACUGUCGGUUUUCUCCGGCUGAUCGAUCAUCAGCGAUGGUCGUCGACCUGGUUGCGGAAGAUUUCUGGAUUUUUAUCCGAAUAAAGGAAACCGUAAUGGAAAGAGACUCAGGUAAAGCGCGUUACGUUAGUCUGGCUCAUUAGCAAGCGAUUGAACUCGAUUCAGACUGCGGUGAAUUCAUUUUCAAGUUACUUUGUUCGCGGCGUUUACAAAUGGAGAACGAUCGAUGGUUAAUGCUUGCCGAUCAGGAAGUGGGAGAUAAUGACGUCUCGGAUCGUUAAACGGAUAAUUUCUCAGGGAUUGAUGCAUUUACUCGAAUCCAUUUCCCUCGCUACAAAAUUAUAAAAUCAAAUAUUGUAAUCUCUCUAAUGGAGCUAAUUACAGACAUUCCAUCUUGCAGAUACGAUCUUCGGUUUUGCAAGAAGUCUCAGCAAGUUAACAUCCGUGCAGGGUUGGUUGUUUCUCGGUUGUACGCGAUCAGAAACAACGAGUGUAACACGCUCGGGAUUGCGCAAGCAAGUGGUGACUGGUCGACCGUUCCGGUAUAAUUGCCAAUCAGUCAAAAAAACCAUUCCUAGAUGGAUCACUAGAAGAAACCCUGAAAAAUUCGCGAGCUGAAUUCGUAUGAACUACGAAUUUACAGUUCUACGUCCUUAGGUCCAAAAUUUCUAUUACAUAGGACCUAGAAUCUUAGAGAAGUAAAAGCAGCAACCUAAGUUCUGGUAACUAAGAUUCUAGCUCACAGGUCCUAAAGUUCUCUCAGGUAUUAAAUCACAAGGUCCUACAUCUGUUCAGGAGCUGUUAAGAUAAUUCCUUUUUCGCUGGGACCUUAAACGAACGUUUGGAAUAACGAAUCUUCGCGAAGCAACGGGUCAAGAAGAUUGGCCAACGUACUCCCAUGUAAAGGGCGGCGGGUUUUCUCGAAAAGGAGAUCCUUCAGGCCAAAGGUAGCGAGAAAAGUCGCAUUACAGAAAUCGUGCCAAGGUGGAAACUUAGCGAAUUGUUGCAACCUUCGCUGAAGAUCAUCUAGGAGAACGUAGUCUCUUCGGACCAAUCAUCCCCUAUAUGAUAAAACGAUGCAAAAAAUGUGGUCCAUUAACGAGGAUUUAUUUCAUGUACAUACAUUUGUCGUAAUAUCGUUCGGAGUUUUUUUCUUCGAACCUCAUUUAUUAUCGACGGUGAACGUUAAUGAGAUCGAA
Megachile rotundata (alfalfa leafcutting bee) is the source of this 2896-nucleotide long non-coding RNA. The record is from RefSeq and is a predicted model, not a curated record. NCBI's taxonomy places the organism in Eukaryota, Metazoa, Arthropoda, Insecta, Hymenoptera, Megachilidae.